This 494-nucleotide ribosomal RNA is filed under the name uncultured bacterium. RNAcentral describes it as "partial 16S ribosomal RNA". It matches the Rfam family "Bacterial small subunit ribosomal RNA", at positions 28 to 507 of the family's 1533-position model. The record is from RNAcentral.
GACGAACGCUGGCGGCGUGCCUAAUACAUGCAAGUAGAACGCUGAAGGAGGAGCUUGCUUCUCUGGAUGAGUUGCGAACGGGUGAGUAACGCGUAGGUAACCUGCCUGGUAGCGGGGGAUAACUAUUGGAAACGAUAGCUAAUACCGCAUACAGUAGAUAUCGCAUGAUAUCUACUUGAAAGGUGCAAUUGCAUCACUACCAGAUGGACCUGCGUUGUAUUAGCUAGUUGGUGAGGUAACGGCUCACCAAGGCGACGAUACAUAGCCGACCUGAGAGGGUGAUCGGCCACACUGGGACUGAGACACGGCCCAGACUCCUACGGGAGGCAGCAGUAGGGAUUCUUCGGCAAUGGACGGAAGUCUGACCGAGCAACGCCGCGUGAGUGAAGAAGGUUUUCGGAUCGUAAAGCUCUGUUGUAAGAGAAGAACGAGUGUGAGAGUGGAAAGUUCACACUGUGACGGUAUCUUACCAGAAAGGGACGGCUAACUACGUG